GCUGGCGGCGUGCCUAACACAUGCAAGUCGAGCGGAGACAGAUUUGAGCUUGCUUGAAACUGUUUUAGCGGCGGACGGGUGAGUAACGCGUGAGCAACCUUUCUCUCAGUGGGGAAUAACACGAGGGAAACUUGUACUAAUACCGCAUGAGACCACAUUGUCGCAUGGCAAAGGGGUCAAAGAUUAAUCGCUGAGAGGUGGGCUCGCGUCUGAUUAGAUAGUUGGCGGUGUAAUGGACCACCAAGGCGACGAUCAGUAGCUGGUUUGAGAGGAUGAUCAGCCACAAUGGGACUGAGACACGGCCCAUACUCCUACGGGAGGCAGCAGUAGGGAAUUUUGCGCAAUGGGCGAAAGCCUGACGCAGCAACGCCGCGUGAUUGAUGAAGCCCGUUCGGGGUGUAAAGAUCUGUCAGUGGGGACGAAACUUGACGGUACCCACAGAGGAAGCACCGGCUAACUCCGUG
This 464-nucleotide ribosomal RNA is filed under the name uncultured bacterium. Its description in RNAcentral is "bacterial SSU rRNA". It matches the Rfam family "Bacterial small subunit ribosomal RNA", at positions 35 to 507 of the family's 1533-position model. The record is from RNAcentral.